Amphibalanus amphitrite is the source of this 957-nucleotide long non-coding RNA. RefSeq lists it as uncharacterized. The record is from RefSeq and is a predicted model, not a curated record. The transcript is spliced from 5 exons. NCBI's taxonomy places the organism in Eukaryota, Metazoa, Arthropoda, Thecostraca, Balanomorpha, Balanidae.
GUCGCGCCCGCGAGCUUUUGCUACCAGCGCUCGGUGCGUGUGGUGCGGCUCCCGGCAUGGUGACUGUUUCUGGAAGGAAUUCGGAUAUUGCCUGUAAAAGUACUCCGUGAUGCCUGGGCGGUCUGCCAGUGUCUGCUCUAGCCCGCUGCAUUGUUGACCCGAGAGGGGGCGGACCUGCCACCGGUCCGAUGCUCGACUACCUCCGACCUAUCGCCACACAGACUCUGAACGGUGCAGCAGUGUGGGAGUGAGUAUACGAGGAGUGUGGCUCCGGUACAGCUGACACCAGACGUCCGUCCAUCGGCCAGUCGCCACUGAACGGACCUCCACCGAACUCCGAAAUCUCCAGCCGCCUCGUAUCUGGACUGAGGUUCAGCUCACCAGAGGGAGAUGCCGGCCCCACUCCAGCACACCACCGGGACCCGCCACAGGAGUCGGCUUACCAGGUUGUUUGCACGCGAAGAUCUUCAAACAAGGAGCGUCAAGAGUCGGAGAACAGAGGAACCGCGUCUAACGGGGGAGGGAGAAGGGGGAGAGGGGUAAUCAGGUCGGAGGUAGCGUGCCUGCCUUCUCCCUUGAUUAUCCCCUCCCCUAUCAUGUGUAAGGGAGAGGGGUAAUCCGGGGGGACGGAGGUAGGCGCGCCUGCCUCCUCUCCUGAUUAUCCCCUCCCCCUAUCAUGUGUGGGGGGAGAGGGGUAAUCGGGGAGACGGAGGUAGGCAUGCCUGCCUUACCUCCUGAUUAUCCCCUCCCCUAGCGCGCGGAGGGGGGGAAGGGGUAAUUUGGGGAGGUAAGUGUCCCUGCCUCCCCUGAUUAUCACCAUGUGCGAGGGGGGGGGGGUAAUCCAUCCCCUGCUGUGUAUAGUUGUGCGCGGGGGGGGGGGGGGCUAUGUCAUACAUGUGAAGGAGAAUACAUACAUGUCAUCUACCGGAAGGAGAAAAAUACAUGUGACACCACUUC